RNAcentral lists this ribosomal RNA (490 nucleotides) under uncultured bacterium. RNAcentral describes it as "partial 16S ribosomal RNA". It matches the Rfam family "Bacterial small subunit ribosomal RNA", at positions 28 to 507 of the family's 1533-position model. The record is from RNAcentral.
GAUGAACGCUAGCGAUAGGCUUAACACAUGCAAGUCGAGGGGCAGCAUGGUCUUAGCUUGCUAAGACUGAUGGCGACCGGCGCACGGGUGCGUAACGCGUAUGCAACUUGCCUCACAGAGGGGGAUAACCCGUCGAAAGACGGGCUAAUACCGCGUACACUCCAUCUUGGGCAUCCAAGGUAGAGGAAAUGAAAUUCGCUGUGAGAUAGGCAUGCGUCCCAUUAGCUAGUUGGUGAGGUAACGGCUCACCAAGGCGACGAUGGGUAGGGGAACUGAGAGGUUGAACCCCCACACUGGUACUGAGACACGGACCAGACUACUACGGGAGGCAGCAGUGAGGAAUAUUGGUCAAUGGGCGAGAGCCUGAACCAGCCAAGUCGCGUGAAGGAUGACUGUCUUAUGGAUUGUAAACUUCUUUUAUACGGGAAUAACAAGAGUCACGUGUGACUCCCUGCAUGUACCGUAUGAAUAAGCAUCGGCUAACUCCGUG